RNAcentral lists this long non-coding RNA (646 nucleotides) under Medicago truncatula (barrel medic). RNAcentral describes it as "long non-coding RNA (MTRU_LNC001328)". The record is from RNAcentral. Lineage: Eukaryota; Viridiplantae; Streptophyta; Magnoliopsida; Fabales; Fabaceae.
GCAGUCUUUUCUUUUAGAUCCCUGGUUUCUUUCAACCAACCAUCAAAGUAAGCUUGAUUGGAGAUAGGGGUGGGUUUUGCUGUCUCAACUUGGCUAUCUUUUAACCAGCCAUCAAGGUAAGCCUGAUUGAAAUUGUGGGUACUCUUUACCUUUUGAUUAUUGGUAUUUUUCAACCAUCCAUCAAGGUAAACUUGAUCGGAUGUAGGGGUAGAUUUUGCUUUCUCAACUUGGGUAUCUUUUAACCAUCCAUCAAGGUAAACUUGCUUGGAGUUUUGUGCAGUCUUUUCCUUUUGAUCCUUGGUAUCUUUCAACCAUCCAUCAAGGUAAGCUUGAUUGGAAUUGUGGAUAGCUUUUUGGUUUUCGUCAGGAGUAUUUUUCAACCACCCAUCAAGGUAAGCAGAAUUAGAAUUACGGGUUGAUUUAUGUUGGUGAUCCAGGGUGUUUUUCAACCAUCCAUCAAGAUAACUUGGAUUAGAGUUAGGGGUGAGUUUUUUAUUUUUCAGUGGAGUGUUUUUGAGCCAGCCAUCAAGGUAAGGCUGAUCGAGUUGUUUUUCUUCUAUACUCUCUUGGUGAAGCUUCAUAUCUCUAGCAUAGCCUCUAUUUUCACUCUACAAUGCAAUUGAAUAAAGGGAUAUUAAUGAGUGAC